This 734-nucleotide ribosomal RNA is filed under the name Acinetobacter sp. GA35. RNAcentral's name for it is "bacterial SSU rRNA". It matches the Rfam family "Bacterial small subunit ribosomal RNA", at positions 97 to 826 of the family's 1533-position model. Lineage: Bacteria; Pseudomonadati; Pseudomonadota; Gammaproteobacteria; Moraxellales; Moraxellaceae. The record is from RNAcentral.
GGCGGACGGGUGAGUAAUGCUUAGGAAUCUGCCUUAUUAGUGGGGGACAACAUUCCGAAAGGAAUGCUAAUACCGCAUACGUCCUACGGGGGAAAGCAGGGGAUCUUCGGACCUUGCGCUAAUAGAUGAGCCUAAGUCGGAUUAGCUAGUUGUUGGGGUAAAGGCCUACCAAGGCGACGAUCUGUAGCGGGUCUGAGAGGAUGAUCCGCCACACUGGGACUGAGACACGGCCCAGACUCCUACGGGAGGCAGCAGUGGGGAAUAUUGGACAAUGGGCGGAAGCCUGAUCCAGCCAUGCCGCGUGUGUGAAGAAGGCCUUUUGGUUGUAAAGCACUUUAAGCGAGGAGGAGGCUCCUUUAGUUAAUACCUAAAGUGAGUGGACGUUACUCGCAGAAUAAGCACCGGCUAACUCUGUGCCAGCAGCCGCGGUAAUACAGAGGGUGCGAGCGUUAAUCGGAUUUACUGGGCGUAAAGCGUGCGUAGGCGGCUUUUUAAGUCGGAUGUGAAAUCCCUGAGCUUAACUUAGGAAUUGCAUUCGAUACUGGAAAGCUAGAGUAUGGGAGAGGAUGGUAGAAUUCCAGGUGUAGCGGUGAAAUGCGUAGAGAUCUGGAGGAAUACCGAUGGCGAAGGCAGCCAUCUGGCCUAAUACUGACGCUGAGGUACGAAAGCAUGGGGAGCAAACAGGAUUAGAUACCUGGUAGUCCAUGCCGUAAACGAUGUCUACUAGCCGUUGG